AUGACUACACUUUCAGGGAUGAUUUCUAUAGUUCCUUACUAGAGAAGUUUCUUUGAUCACGUAGAAUACCAGAAACCAUGAGGAGACACAGUGUUCUCUCCUGACAUGAAGCCGGUUCUUGGAGUUGCUUUAUUGCAACUGCCACUUGCCAUUGAUGAUUAUUCUUGCUCUCAGGAGAGUAAGAGGGAAAGAGCACAGUCUAAGUGGG
Molecule: small nucleolar RNA, 208 nt
Filed under: Castor canadensis (American beaver)
Lineage: Eukaryota; Metazoa; Chordata; Mammalia; Rodentia; Castoridae
Description: Small nucleolar RNA U3 (ENSCCNG00000006617.1)
Rfam family: Small nucleolar RNA U3
About the family: Small nucleolar RNAs (snoRNAs) are involved in the processing and modification of rRNA in the nucleolus. There are two main classes of snoRNAs: the box C/D class, and the box H/ACA class. U3 snoRNA is a member of the box C/D class.
Source: Rfam by way of RNAcentral